UGGGGAAUAUUGCGCAAUGGGCGAAAGCCUGACGCAGCGACGCCGCGUGAGGGAUGAAGGUUUUCGGAUCGUAAACCUCUGUCAGAAGGGAAGAAACCGCACUGUGCUAAUCAGCAGUGCCUUGACGGUACCUUCAAAGGAAGCACCGGCUAACUCCGUGCCAGCAGCCGCGGUAAUACGGAGGGUGCAAGCGUUAAUCGGAAUUACUGGGCGUAAGGCGCACGUAGGCUGCUUUGUAAGUCAGGGGUGAAAUCCCACGGCUCAACCGUGGAACUGCCUUUGAUACUGCUUAGCUUGAAUCCGGGAGAGGGUGGCGGAAUUCCAGGUGUAGGAGUGAAAUCCGUAGAUAUCUGGAGGAACAUCAGUGGCGAAGGCGGCCACCUGGACCGGUAUUGACGCUGAGGUGCGAAAGCGUGGGGAGCAAACAGG
RNAcentral lists this ribosomal RNA (429 nucleotides) under Fusobacteriota bacterium. RNAcentral's name for it is "Fusobacteria bacterium partial 16S ribosomal RNA". It matches the Rfam family "Bacterial small subunit ribosomal RNA", at positions 355 to 776 of the family's 1533-position model. The record is from RNAcentral. Lineage: Bacteria; Fusobacteriati; Fusobacteriota.